CAGGUCUUCAGAUUCAGACUGAACUAUAGCUCUUGUUUUCAUGUGUAUGCAGUUUGUAGACAGAAGAUGCUAGACUUCCAUAAUCAUCAUUGUUCAUACCAGCCAAGUUAUAGAAACAACUUAAGUUUGUCAAUGGAGGAAUGAAUGGAUAAGAACAGAGCAGGGAGGGCAGAGUACACUAUGUAAAAGAGGUCAACUACACAAUAAGAGACUGGACUUCACCUGGUGAACCUAAUGUAGAUACACAUGGUAAAUUUUAUAAUACACACCUGAAACAUACUUCUCUGUGAGACAUAAUAGUGCUACCACAACUAAAAAAUUAAUUUCUAAUUAAACAAAUAUUGUGGGACACUUGUAA
Long non-coding RNA from Erinaceus europaeus (western European hedgehog), 358 nucleotides. RefSeq lists it as uncharacterized. Lineage: Eukaryota; Metazoa; Chordata; Mammalia; Eulipotyphla; Erinaceidae. The transcript has 2 exons. The record is from RefSeq and is a predicted model, not a curated record.